RNAcentral lists this long non-coding RNA (300 nucleotides) under Setaria italica (foxtail millet). RNAcentral describes it as "long non-coding RNA (SITA_LNC000504)". Lineage: Eukaryota; Viridiplantae; Streptophyta; Magnoliopsida; Poales; Poaceae. The record is from RNAcentral.
CAGCAGUUCGUCAAAUUCAACCUAAUCAGUAUGAACCCUCCAGUGCAUCAAGCACCAUCUGCAUUGUCUCCUUCAUCAGGUCCAUCCGAUGCAGCUGCUGCCUUAUCUCUGACAUUCUGAACUUCCGCAGCUUCUCCUCCAUAGCUUUGACAUUCUGAACUUCCGCAGCUUCUCCUCCAUAGCUUGUGCCUUUGACUUCUCAAGUACACCAAAUGCCUUUCUGAAUAUUGGUCCGCUCGGGUGCUCCUUCGAUAGCUCCGCAACAGCCUCCCACAGGUAAGGGUACAUUUGUUUUCCCUU